AUCAGUACCGAGCUGGGGUGUUUUCUUUCUAAUAUGGCUUGGCCAGUGGAGGAGCGUGUGUGUGUGUGUGUGUGUGUGUGUGUGUGUGUGUGUGUGUGUGUGUCUGUCUGUCUGUCUGUCUGUCUACGUCCACUUAGGAGCACACCGAUAAGUAGAAGAACCAGAGUUGACUCAAAUGCAUCUACAAGGCUUCUUUCUUUCCAGAGAAAUGAGGGGAAUAAAAACGGAUCCGAAAUAGGUUCCCCAAAGAGGGGUUUGGUGGGGGAGUGCUGUUUGGCUGCUUGGCUGGUUAGUUAUAAGGUCUUGCUAUAUAGCACAGGCUGGCUUGCAGUCCCUUUGUGGCCAUGUUGACCUUGAAUUUGAGAGCCUCCUACAGCUUCCUCCUGAGUGCAGGGAUUACAGGCAUGCACUACCACACCCAAUUUGGGGUUGGGGGUGGCGGGGCAGGGAUCUUAUUUCAACUAAUUCUAGAAAAGGUCGAUGAUGGAUACAUCAGCAUUUGGUAGGGGAGUGUUCCUAAGAACUUGGCAGUCACUAAAGCUCUUCAAUAAUCAUUAUGAAAAUCAUAUCAACAACAGUAAUGAUUAUGGCAAUCACGGUGGCCCCCAUUUUUCAAGUGCUCAUUUUUUUCAGGUUGUCUACACACUGCUUUUCCU
This is a long non-coding RNA of Perognathus longimembris pacificus (Pacific pocket mouse), 656 nucleotides long. RefSeq lists it as uncharacterized. The record is from RefSeq and is a predicted model, not a curated record. The transcript has 3 exons. NCBI's taxonomy places the organism in Eukaryota, Metazoa, Chordata, Mammalia, Rodentia, Heteromyidae.